GAUGAAGAACGUAGCAAAAUGCGAUAAGUAAUGUGAAUUGCAGAAUUCAGUGAAUCAUCGAAUCUUUGAACGCGCAUUGCGCCCGCCAGUAUUCUGGCGGGCAUGCCUGUUCGAGCGUCAUUUCAACCCUCAAGCACAGCUUGGUGUUGGGACUCGCGUUAAUUCGCGUUCCCCAAAUUGAUUGGCGGUCACGUCGAGCUUCCAUAGCGUAGUAGUAAAACCCUCGUUACUGGUAAUCGUCGCGGCCACGCCGUUAAACCCCAACUUCUGAAUGUUGACCUCGGAUCAGGUAGGAAUACCCGCUGAACUUAAGCAUAUCAAUAAGCGGAGGA
This 332-nucleotide unclassified non-coding RNA is filed under the name soil metagenome. RNAcentral describes it as "partial contains 5.8S ribosomal RNA, internal transcribed spacer 2, and large subunit ribosomal RNA". The stretch from base 1 to 120 matches the Rfam family "5.8S ribosomal RNA", at positions 35 to 154 of the family's 154-position model. The record is from RNAcentral.